Molecule: ribosomal RNA, 158 nt
Filed under: Elsinoe fawcettii (citrus scab fungus)
Lineage: Eukaryota; Fungi; Ascomycota; Dothideomycetes; Myriangiales; Elsinoaceae
Description: 5.8S ribosomal RNA
Rfam family: 5.8S ribosomal RNA
About the family: 5.8S ribosomal RNA (5.8S rRNA) is a component of the large subunit of the eukaryotic ribosome. It is transcribed by RNA polymerase I as part of the 45S precursor that also contains 18S and 28S rRNA.
Source: RNAcentral
AAACUUUCAACAACGGAUCUCUUGGUUCUGGCAUCGAUGAAGAACGCAGCGAAAUGCGAUAAGUAAUGUGAAUUGCAGAAUUCAGUGAAUCAUCGAGUCUUUGAACGCACAUUGCGCCCCUUGGUAUUCCGAGGGGCAUGCCUGUUCGAGCGUCAUUU